AGUUUGUCUACUCUAUGUCAGCAUAAAAGCGAGUUUAAUAUUUUGUAUCUGCGACUGUAUGAUGGUGCUUACUGGAAAGCUUAAUUCCCUUUUGCAAACAAAACUGUUACUACAGAUUCUGCUACCGAAUUGCUGAUGGAGAAGGAAUUGGAAGAAGACAUUGAUUAUUGUGUUGAUGAUGAUGUGCUACCUUUAGAAACACUGACUGCUCUGAAACAAUGUAAAAC
Molecule: long non-coding RNA, 227 nt
Filed under: Mytilus galloprovincialis (Mediterranean mussel)
Lineage: Eukaryota; Metazoa; Mollusca; Bivalvia; Mytilida; Mytilidae
Source: RNAcentral